AUGGAUUGUUCAAGCCUGCGUAGGAAGCAGUCCUGCCCUGUGAAUGUCUGUCUCCUCCUUGUAGCCUGGCAAAGGCCCCGCCACAGCAGGCAGAAGCCAGGUUCAUUGGGUGGGGAUGAACUAGCCAGGUGCAGGAAUCUUGGACUUAGGCACAGGGCCAGUCUUGUUAAGUUGCUACACGAAGACAACAAAUGAAUAAAAAUCAGGAGCAUUAACCCA
Molecule: long non-coding RNA, 219 nt
Filed under: Fukomys damarensis (Damara mole-rat)
Lineage: Eukaryota; Metazoa; Chordata; Mammalia; Rodentia; Bathyergidae
Description: lncRNA (ENSFDAG00000024763.1)
Source: RNAcentral